CUGCUCUUGGGGUUGGUGCUGGAGCUCUCCCGCUCUUCCUCCUCCUCUUCCUUUCCUCUUCCUCCUCCUCCUCCUCCUCCCCUUCAGUUCCUUCUCCUCUUCAUCCUCCUCUUCAUCUUCAUCCUCCUCAUCCUCAGGGUGCCCCUGGCCUGUCCCCGCUUUCUGCUCUUCCUCCUCUUCCUCUUCCUGUUCUUCCUCAUCUUCGUCUUCUUCUCCUCUUCCUCAUCUUCAUCCUCUCUUCUUUCUCCUCUUCCUCUUCUUCCUCUUCAUCUCCUUCUGCUCUUCCUCCUCUUCCUCCUCCUCUUCCCCUCCCCCCGCUCAGGUUCAGGGUUUGGGAUUUCCCCUCCCCCCUCCAGGGCCCCAAAAUCCCCAAUUCCCGAAAUUCCUGAAAUCCCAGGAAUUCUCCCCAAAACCCCAAAAUCCUGGGAAUCGACCCCAAAAUCCCCAAAACUCCAGGAAUUUGCCCCAAAAUCCCCAAAUCCCAAAAAUCCCAAAUUCACCCAAACCCCCACAUUCCCAAGGAUUGGCCCCAAACCCCCAAAACCCCCGGGAAUUUCACCCCCAAAAACCCCCGGGAAUUUCACCCCAAAAACCCCCGGGAAUUCACCCCAAAAACCCCCGGGAAUUCACCCCCAAAAAUCCCCGGAAUUCACCCCAAAAUCCCGGAAUUCACCCCAAAAUCCCCGGAAUUCACCCCAAAAUCCCAGGAAUUCACCCCAAAAUCCCCGGAAUUCACCCCAAAAUCCCCGGAAUUCACCCCAAAAUCCCGGGAAUUCUCCCCGGUGGGUUCCGUGUGCUCCUUCCUCGGGGCCUUUUCCGGGCUUUUUUCUGGGAAUUCCGGGGAUUUUUGGGGGAAUUUUGGGGCUUUUUGGGCAAUUCUGGCGGUUUUUGGGGGGGAAUUCCGGGGAUUUUUUGGGGCUUUUUGGGAAUUCCGGGGAUUUUUUGGAAUUUUUGGGAAUUCCGGGGAUUUUUUUGGGAAUUCCGGGGAUUUUUUGGGGAUUUUUUGGGAUUUUUUGGGAAUUCCGGGGAAGCUGAGGCACGGUGGGGGAGGGGAAUUCUGGGGGUCCCAACCCGGAUUAGACAGGGCUGGGGCUGAGGCCUGGAGUAACCCCAGAGUAACCCUGGAGUAACCCUGGAGUAUUGUGGGUGUAUUGCUGGAGUAACCCUGGAGUAUUCCUGGAGUAACCCCAGAGUAUUGUGGGUGUAUUGGUGGAGUAACCCCGGAGUAACCCCAGAGCAUUGUUGGUGUAUUGGUGGAGUAACCCUGGAGUAACCCCGGAGUAUUGUGGGUGUAUUGGUGGAGUAACCCCAGAGUAACCCCGGAGCAUUGCGAGUGUAUUGGUGGAGUAACCCUGGAGUAACCUCAGAGUAUUGUGGGUGUAUUGCUGGAGUAACCCUGGAGUAACCCGAGAGUAACCCCAGAGUAUUGUGGGUGUAUUGGUGGAGUAACCCUGGAGUAACCCCAGAGCAUUGUGGGUGUGUUGGUGGAAUAACCCUGGAGUAUUCCUGGAGUAACCCCAGAGUAUUGUGGGUGUAUUGCUGGAGUAACCCCGGAGUAACCCCAGAGUAACCCCAGAGUAUUGUGGGUGUAUUGAUGUGCUGUGUGUAGCCCCUGAGUAGGAGCUUGGGGCUGGGAUUCCAGCCUGGAGUAUCCCUGGAGUAUCCUCGGUGUAUGGGGCUGGAUGUGGGGGAUCAGGCUCUGAGUAUCCCUGGAGUAUCCUCUGAGUAAGGGGCAGAAUCUGUGCUGUGUGUAACCCCUGAGUAGGAGCUUGGGGCUGGAAUUCCCACCUGGAGUAUCCCUGGAGUACGGGGCAGAAUCUGUGCCGUGUGUAACUCCUGAGUAGGGGCUCAGGGCUGGAAUUCCCACCUGGAGUAUCCCUGGAGUAAGGGGUUGGAUGUUGUGAAUGAGGCUGAGUAUCCCUGGAGUAUCCCCAGAGUAUGGGACUGGAUGUGGGGGAUCAGGCUCAGAGUAUCCCUGGAGUAUCCUGUGAGUGAGAGGUCAAAGGUCAAACCUGGAGUAUCCCUGGAGUUUGAGGUCCAGGUCCUGGAGUAUCCCUUGAGUAAGAGGUUAAAGAUCGAGCCCUGGAGUGAGUAUC
RNAcentral lists this long non-coding RNA (2096 nucleotides) under Serinus canaria (Common canary). RNAcentral describes it as "lncRNA (ENSSCAG00000003243.1)". The record is from RNAcentral. Lineage: Eukaryota; Metazoa; Chordata; Aves; Passeriformes; Fringillidae.